CCUACGGGAGGCAGCAGUGAGGAAUAUUGGUCAAUGGGCGAGAGCCUGAACCAGCCAAGUAGCGUGAAGGAUGAAGGCUCUAUGGGUCGUAAACUUCUUUUAUAUGGGAAUAAAGUUUUCCACGUGUGGAAUUUUGUAUGUACCAUAUGAAUAAGGAUCGGCUAACUCCGUGCCAGCAGCCGCGGUAAUACGGAGGAUCCGAGCGUUAUCCGGAUUUAUUGGGUUUAAAGGGAGCGUAGGUGGAUUGUUAAGUCAGUUGUGAAAACUAUGGGCUUAACUUGUAGACUGCAGUUGAUACUGGCUGUCUUGAGUACAGUAGAGGUGGGCGGAAUUCGUGGUGUAGCGGUGAAAUGCUUAGAUAUCACGAAGAACUCCGAUUGCGAAGGCAGCCUGCUAAGCUGCAACUGACAUUGAGGCUCGAAAG
This 424-nucleotide ribosomal RNA is filed under the name uncultured Bacteroides sp. RNAcentral describes it as "bacterial SSU rRNA". It matches the Rfam family "Bacterial small subunit ribosomal RNA", at positions 338 to 759 of the family's 1533-position model. Lineage: Bacteria; Pseudomonadati; Bacteroidota; Bacteroidia; Bacteroidales; Bacteroidaceae. The record is from RNAcentral.